UAAAGCGUUCGUAGCCGGUUUGAUAAGUUUUUGGUGAAAUCCACAUCUUAACUGUGGGAAUUGCCGGGGGAUACUUCUCGACUUGGGGCCGGGAGAGGUGGGAGGUACUCCCGGGGUAGGGGUGAAAUCCUGUAAUCCUGGGAGGACCACCUGUGGCGAAGGCGUCUCACCGGAACGAACCUGACGGUGAGGGACGAAAGCCAGGGGCGCGAACCGGAUUAGAUACCCGGGUAGUCCUGGCCGUAAACGAUGCGGACUAGGUGUUGGGCAGGCUUCGAGCUGCCCCAGUGCCGAAGGGAAGCCGUUAAUUCCGCCGCCAGGGAAGUACGGCCGCAAG
Molecule: ribosomal RNA, 337 nt
Filed under: uncultured Methanothermobacter sp.
Lineage: Archaea; Methanobacteriati; Methanobacteriota; Methanobacteria; Methanobacteriales; Methanobacteriaceae
Description: bacterial SSU rRNA
Rfam family: Archaeal small subunit ribosomal RNA
Source: RNAcentral